AGUGAACGCUGGCGGUAGGCCUAACACAUGCAAGUCGAACGGCAGCACAGUAAGAGCUUGCUCUUACGGGUGGCGAGUGGCGGACGGGUGAGGAAUACAUCGGAAUCUACUUUUUCGUGGGGGAUAACGUAGGGAAACUUACGCUAAUACCGCAUACGACCUACGGUUGAAAGCAGGGGAUCUUCGGACCUUGCGCGAUUGAAUGAGCCGAUGUCGGAUUAGCUAGUUGGCGGGGUAAAGGCCCACCAAGGCGACGAUCCGUAGCUGGUCUGAGAGGAUGAUCAGCCACACUGGAACGGAGACACGGUACAGACUCCUACGGGAGGCAGCAGUGGGGAAUAUUGGACAAUGGGAGCAAGCAUGAUCCAGCAAUACCGCGUGGGUGAAGAAGGCCUUCGGGUUGUAAAGCCAUUUUGUUGGGAAAGAAAAGCAGCAGGUGAAUACCCCGCUGUUCUGACGGUACCCAAAGAAUAAGCACCGGCUAACUUCGUG
RNAcentral lists this ribosomal RNA (492 nucleotides) under uncultured bacterium. Its description in RNAcentral is "partial 16S ribosomal RNA". It matches the Rfam family "Bacterial small subunit ribosomal RNA", at positions 29 to 507 of the family's 1533-position model. The record is from RNAcentral.